GUGCCCAGGCGCGAAAACUUCACAAUGGGAGAAAUCCCGAUGAGGGAAUUCCAAGUGCUAGCACUAUGUGUUAGCUGUUCUUUUGUCUAAAAAAUAGAAGAAGUAAGGGCCGGGUAAGACGGGUGCCAGCCGCCGCGGUAAUACCCGCGGCCCGAGUGGUGGUCGAUAUUAUUGAGCCUAAAACGUCCGUAGCCGGUCUUGUAAAUCCUUGGGUAAAUCGGCCAGCUUAACUGUCCGAAGUCCGGGGAGACUGCAAGACUUGGGAUCGGGAGAGGUCAGAGGUACUUCUGGGGUAGGGGUAAAAUCCUGUAAUCCUGGAAGGACCACCGGUGGCGAAGGCGUCUGACUAGAACGAAUUCGACGGUGAGGGACGAAGCCCUGGGGCGCAAACGGGAUUAGAUACCCCGGUAGUCCAGGGUGUAAACGCUGCGGGCUUGGUGUUGGGGGUCCUUUGUGGGCGCCCAGUGCCGGAGAGAAGUUGUUAAGCCUGCUGCUUGGGGAGUACGUCCGCAAGGAUGAAACUUAAAGGAAUUGGCGGGGGAGCAC
RNAcentral lists this ribosomal RNA (546 nucleotides) under uncultured archaeon. RNAcentral's name for it is "bacterial SSU rRNA". It matches the Rfam family "Archaeal small subunit ribosomal RNA", at positions 330 to 879 of the family's 1478-position model. The record is from RNAcentral.